ACACUGGUGGUGAAGUGGAAUCACAAUCCAUGCGAGAGUGUACUCUCGAAUGCAAAGUCGAGGGUUCGAAUCCUUCCCAGUGUU
Pluteus cervinus is the source of this 84-nucleotide non-coding RNA. Lineage: Eukaryota; Fungi; Basidiomycota; Agaricomycetes; Agaricales; Pluteaceae. The record is from the annotation of a GenBank genome assembly.